AACGAACGCUGGCGGCAUGCCUAACACAUGCAAGUCGAACGAGAUCUUCGGGUCUAGUGGCGCACGGGUGCGUAACGCGUGGGAAUCUGCCCUUUGGUUCGGAAUAACAGUUGGAAACGACUGCUAAUACCGGAUGAUGACGAAAGUCCAAAGAUUUAUCGCCAGAGGAUGAGCCCGCGUAGGAUUAGCUAGUUGGUGUGGUAAAGGCGCACCAAGGCGACGAUCCUUAGCUGGUCUGAGAGGAUGAUCAGCCACACUGGGACUGAGACACGGCCCAGACUCCUACGGGAGGCAGCAGCGGGGAAUAUUGGACAAUGGGCGAAAGCCUGAUCCAGCAAUGCCGCGUGAGUGAUGAAGGCCUAGGGUUGUAAAGCUCUUUUACCCGGGAUGAUAAUGACAGUACCGGGAGAAUAAGCUCCGGCUAACUCCGUGCCAGCCGCCGCAGUAA
RNAcentral lists this ribosomal RNA (448 nucleotides) under uncultured bacterium. RNAcentral's name for it is "partial 16S ribosomal RNA". It matches the Rfam family "Bacterial small subunit ribosomal RNA", at positions 29 to 523 of the family's 1533-position model. The record is from RNAcentral.